UGCAGUCGAACGAUGAAGCCGGAGCUUGCUCUGGUGGAUUAUGGCGAACGGGUGAGUAACACGUGAGUAACCUGCCCUUGACUCUGGAAUAAGCGUUGGAAACGACGUCUAAUACCGGAUACGAGCUUCCGCCGCAUGGUGAGGAGCUGGAAAGAAUUUCGGUCAAGGAUGGACUCGCGGCCUAUCAGGUAGUUGGUGAGGUAAUGGCUCACCAAGCCUACGACGGGUAGCCGGCCUGAGAGGGUGACCGGCCACACUGGAACUGAGACACGGUCCAGACUCCUACGGGAGGCAGCAGUGGGGAAUAUUGCACAAUGGGCGCAAGCCUGAUGCAGCAACGCCGCGUGAGGGACGACGGCCUUCGGGUUGUAAACCUCUUUUAGUAGGGAAGAAGCGAAAGUGACGGUACCUGCAGAAAAAGCACCGGCUAACUACGUGCCAGCAGCCGCGGUAAUACGUAGGGUGCAAGCGUUAUCCGGAAUUAUUGGGCGUAAAGAGCUCGUAGGCGGUUUGUCGCGUCUGCUGUGAAAACUGGGGGCUCAACCCCCAGCCUGCAGUGGGUACGGGCAGACUAGAGUGCGGUAGGGGAGAUUGGAAUUCCUGGUGUAGCGGUGGAAUGCGCAGAUAUCAGGAGGAACACCGAUGGCGAAGGCAGAUCUCUGGGCCGUAACUGACGCU
RNAcentral lists this ribosomal RNA (678 nucleotides) under bacterium SCSIO13226. Its description in RNAcentral is "bacterial SSU rRNA". It matches the Rfam family "Bacterial small subunit ribosomal RNA", at positions 56 to 747 of the family's 1533-position model. The record is from RNAcentral.